AUUACUCCGCCUUCUUCUUUGUCUUCCUGUUCCGGCCGCAGCAUCUACGCAGGCAAUACUUGCACGCCUUAACGAAGAGGAACGUUGAAAGCAGGACCACUGCAAGCAGGAACCCGGCCACAUCCAGGCAGUGGUACUGGUACCAGGUGUACAUUUUCAAGAUAAGUCCAACCUUUUGGGGGAUCUGAGCAAGACCCGAGGCAAUCAUGUUGGCUUUCUCAUGGCUGACGUUCUUGACCAUGGAUCCCAGAGUGAAGACCACAACGCCGUCAUCGCCCGAGCUCUGCACAAACUCUUCCAUGUCCUGAAUAGAAGAAGGGCACCAAACAGCUGAACCUCAAAGGCAACCGAGGUGACACUUUCUGGAGUCUGAUGACUGACGCCAAAAUGAUCCUUACCUUGAUGUUAACGUUGUCAUGAGCAGGAGAACAGAGGGAAGAGCCAGCUUUGGACACGCACGCAGAAAAGGCGGACACGUCGGACAACCCACCAUCACAAACACCAUUACGCCGUUCAACAUGGCCGCGAGCCACAUUUGAAUCCGACCUGAUUGGCCCACAAAAGGAAGCUAGGGUUGACGCUGGGAAAUGGUGCCGGAUCGGGAAUGGCCUCCUCAGGUUGAGGAGGAAGUGGAGAAGGAGGAGGAAGUGUAUGGACUGGACCUGACUGGGCCGGCCGAGCUUCAUACAGGGAGGUGGCGUUGCUAAACAGCUGACAUUAAGAAAAUAAUAUGAGGCAUACCUUCAGGACCUUGUGCGGCACCUCUGGCAACAUCUCCGCCAGCUGCGUCAGGGUGGCGCCGAAUAGCCACGGCAACGAGGGCGCCCUCCUGACCAUGAGUUGAGCCACCAGGGGGUUGAUGCAGGGGAAGUGCGACAGGCAAAGCUCCUCCUGACCAACGUGGGGGAAUGUAAACGUGUG
Molecule: long non-coding RNA, 921 nt
Organism: Hippocampus zosterae (dwarf seahorse)
Lineage: Eukaryota; Metazoa; Chordata; Actinopteri; Syngnathiformes; Syngnathidae
Exons: 7
Source: RefSeq, a predicted model, not a curated record